RNAcentral lists this transfer RNA (72 nucleotides) under Parcubacteria group bacterium. RNAcentral describes it as "tRNA-Arg". It matches the Rfam family "tRNA". From Rfam's summary of the family: Transfer RNA (tRNA) molecules are approximately 80 nucleotides in length. Their secondary structure includes four short double-helical elements and three loops (D, anti-codon, and T loops). Further hydrogen bonds mediate the characteristic L-shaped molecular structure. tRNAs have two regions of fundamental functional importance: the anti-codon, which is responsible for specific mRNA codon recognition, and the 3' end, to which the tRNAs corresponding amino acid is attached (by aminoacyl-tRNA synthetases). tRNAs cope with the degeneracy of the genetic code in two manners: having more than one tRNA (with a specific anti-codon) for a particular amino acid; and 'wobble' base-pairing, i.e. permitting non-standard base-pairing at the 3rd anti-codon position. The record is from RNAcentral.
CCCCCUAUAGUUUAAUGGAUAGAAUACGGGCUUGCGGAGCCUGUGAUCGAGGUUCGACUCCUCGUGGGGGGA